This 336-nucleotide long non-coding RNA is filed under the name Numida meleagris (helmeted guineafowl). Its description in RNAcentral is "lncRNA (ENSNMEG00000000612.1)". Lineage: Eukaryota; Metazoa; Chordata; Aves; Galliformes; Numididae. The record is from RNAcentral.
GGGAAAGGGCGGGAGACUGGACGUCCCUCUGCCUGGCCAGGUGUUUGCCCAAGCAGCAGCCCCAAAUCACUGAGAAAGCACUUACCAGCCUGGGAUGGGUAGCAGGAGGUGGUGAAAGCAAUACGUUUUUAAAAGAGAUUCUUCGGUGCUUACUUGCAUCACUUGCACAGCAAGUGUAUGCUCAGCCUGGAUCUCUCUGCGCUGCACGUGCAAAGUCUGAUCCACACAAAAGGGGAUUCCGGUUACGUUGUUACAUGUUCUGGCAGAAUUGUUGAUUUGUGAUAUUGAUCUUGAUAAAGAAAGAUUAAAUAUUUAUUUCACAUCCUUUUUCUUUUA